This 385-nucleotide unclassified non-coding RNA is filed under the name uncultured Phycisphaerae bacterium. RNAcentral describes it as "contains 16S-23S intergenic spacer region". The record is from RNAcentral. Lineage: Bacteria; Pseudomonadati; Planctomycetota; Phycisphaerae.
UCCGGUUUAACACCGGCAGUCUCGCUAAAGUGCCCGCCAUUACGCGCUGGCAACUAACGAUAAGGGUUUCGCUCGUUAGGGGACUUAACCCGACAUCUCACGACACGAGCUGACGACAGCCAUGCAGCACCUGUGCUGGUUCCACGGCAAGCCGCGUCACUCCGCUUUCACGGAGCUAAUCCCAGCAUGUCAAACCCGGGUAAGGUUCUUCGCGUUGCUUCGAAUUAAGCCACAUGCUCCACCGCUUGUGUGAGCCCCCGUCAAUUCCUUUGAGUUUUAGCCUUGCGGCCGUACUCCCCAGGCGGCGCACUUAACACUUUUGUUUCGGCCCACGUGCCGUCAGAGGCCAAUGAACCUUGUGCGCAUCGUUUACGGCGUAGACUAC